AAUCGUACCCCAAACCGACACAGGUGGUCAGGUAGAGAAUACCAAGGCGCUUGAGAGAACUCGGGUGAAGGAACUAGGCAAAAUGGUGCCGUAACUUCGGGAGAAGGCACGCUGGCAUGUAGGUGAAGUCCUUCGCGGAUGGAGCUGAAGCCAGUCGAAGAUACCAGCUGGCUGCAACUGUUUAAUAAAAACACAGCACUGUGCAAACACGAAAGUGGACGUAUACGGUGUGACGCCUGCCCGGUGCUGGAAGGUUAAUUGAUGGGGUCAGCCGCAAGGCGAAGCUCUUGAUCGAAGCCCCAGUAAACGGCGGCCGUAACUAUAACGGUCCUAAGGUAGCGAAAUUCCUUGUCGGGUAAGUUCCGACCUGCACGAAUGGCGUAAUGAUGGCCAGGCUGUCUCCACCCGAGACUCAGUGAAAUUGAACUCGCUGUGAAGAUGCAGUGUACCCGCGGCAAGACGGAAAGACCCCGUGAACCUUUACUAUAGCUUGACACUGAACAUUGAGCCUUGAUGUGUAGGAUAGGUGGGAGGCUUUGAAGCGUGGACGCCAGUCUGCGUGGAGCCAUCCUUGAAAUACCACCCUUUAAUGUUUGAUGUUCUAACUCGGCCCCAUAAUCUGGGGUGAGGACAGUGUCUGGUGGGUAGUUUGACUGGGGCGGUCUCCUCCCAAAGAGUAACGGAGGAGCACGAAGGUUAGCUAAUCACGGUCGGACAUCGUGAGGUUAGUGCAAAGGCAUAAGCUAGCUUGACUGCGAGAGUGACGGCUCGAGCAGGUACGAAAGUAGGUCUUAGUGAUCCGGUGGUUCUGAAUGGAAGGGCCAUCGCUCAACGGAUAAAAGGUACUCCGGGGAUAACAGGCUGAUACCGCCCAAGAGUUCAUAUCGACGGCGGUGUUUGGCACCUCGAUGUCGGCUCAUCACAUCCUGGGGCUGAAGUAGGUCCCAAGGGUAUGGCUGUUCGCCAUUUAAAGUGGUACGCGAGCUGGGUUUAGAACGUCGUGAGACAGUUCGGUCCCUAUCUGCCGUGGGCGUUGGAAGAUUGAGAGGGGUUGCUCCUAGUACGAGAGGACCGGAGUGAACGCACCACUGGUGUUCGGGUUGUCAUGCCAAUGGCAUUGCCCGGUAGCUAAGUGCGGAAAAGAUAAGCGCUGAAAGCAUCUAAGCGCGAAACUUGCCUCAAGAUGAGUCUUCCCUGGGCCUUUAAGGUCCCUGAAGGAACGUUUAAGACUAAGACGUUGAUAGGCUGGGUGUGUAAGUGCAGCGAUGCAUUGAGCUAACCAGUACUAAUGAUCCGUGAGGCUUAACCUU
This 1310-nucleotide ribosomal RNA is filed under the name Serratia nevei. Its description in RNAcentral is "partial 23S ribosomal RNA". It matches the Rfam family "Bacterial large subunit ribosomal RNA", at positions 1640 to 2925 of the family's 2925-position model. The record is from RNAcentral. Lineage: Bacteria; Pseudomonadati; Pseudomonadota; Gammaproteobacteria; Enterobacterales; Yersiniaceae.